CAGGAUGAACGCUAGCGACAGGCUUAACACAUGCAAGUCGAGGGGCAGCAAUAAAAGUAGCAAUACUUGGUGGCGACCGGCGCACGGGUGAGUAACGCGUAUGCAACCUACCUAUCAGAGGGGAAUAACCCGGCGAAAGUCGGACUAAUACCGCAUAAAACAGGGGCACCGCAUGGUGAUAUUUGUUAAAGAAAUUCGCUGAUAGAUGGGCAUGCGUUCCAUUAGGUAGUUGGUGAGGUAACGGCUCACCAAGCCGACGAUGGAUAGGGAACUGAGAGGUUGGUCCCCCACACUGGUACUGAGACACGGACCAGACUCCUACGGGAGGCAGCAGUGAGGAAUAUUGGUCAAUGGGCGGGAGCCUGAACCAGCCAAGUCGCGUGAAGGAAGAAGGAUCUAUGGUUCGUAAACUUCUUUUGCAGGGGAAUAAAGUGCAGGACGUGUCCUGUUUUGUAUGUACCCUGAGAAUAGGGAUCGGCUAACUCCGUGCCAGCCGCGGC
This 500-nucleotide ribosomal RNA is filed under the name uncultured bacterium. RNAcentral's name for it is "bacterial SSU rRNA". It matches the Rfam family "Bacterial small subunit ribosomal RNA", at positions 25 to 518 of the family's 1533-position model. The record is from RNAcentral.